AACGUAGGACACAAGCGUUAUCCGGAGUUACUGGGCGUAAAGGGCGCGUAGGCGGCCUUCUAAGUCGAACGUGAAAUCCCCGGGCUCAACCCGGGAACUGCGUCCGGUACUGGGAGGCUUGAAUCCGGGAGAGGGAUGUGGAAUUCCAGGUGUAGCGGUGAAAUGCGUAGAUAUCUGGAGGAACACCGGUGGCGAAGGCGGCAUCCUGGACCGGUAUUGACGCUGAGGCGCGAAAGCCAGGGGAGCAAACGGG
RNAcentral lists this ribosomal RNA (253 nucleotides) under uncultured bacterium. RNAcentral's name for it is "partial 16S ribosomal RNA". It matches the Rfam family "Bacterial small subunit ribosomal RNA", at positions 524 to 776 of the family's 1533-position model. The record is from RNAcentral.